UCGACCUCAGAUCAGGCGAGAUUACCCCCUGAUUUUAUAGACAUAUAAGUCGACCUCAGAUCAGACGAGACUACCCCCUGAAUUUAAGCAUAAAA
RNAcentral lists this ribosomal RNA (95 nucleotides) under Hemiscorpius lepturus. Its description in RNAcentral is "partial 28S ribosomal RNA". RNAcentral also lists the same sequence under 1 other name. Lineage: Eukaryota; Metazoa; Arthropoda; Arachnida; Scorpiones; Hemiscorpiidae. The record is from RNAcentral.